GGUUAGUCCCGCAACGAGCGCAACCCUUAUCUUUAGUAGCCAGCAGUUCGGCUGGGCACUCUAGAGAGACUGCCGGGGAUAACCCGGAGGAAGGUGGGGAUGACGUCAAAUCAUCAUGCCCCUUAUGAUUUGGGCUACACACGUGCUACAAUGGCGUAAACAAAGAGACGCAACCCUGUGAAGGCAAGCAAAUCUCAAAAAUAACGUCUCAGUUCGGAUUGUAGUCUGCAACUCGACUACAUGAAGCUGGAAUCGCUAGUAAUCGCGAAUCAGAAUGUCGCGGUGAAUACGUUCCCGGGUCUU
This 303-nucleotide ribosomal RNA is filed under the name uncultured Lachnospiraceae bacterium. RNAcentral's name for it is "bacterial SSU rRNA". It matches the Rfam family "Bacterial small subunit ribosomal RNA", at positions 1079 to 1382 of the family's 1533-position model. Lineage: Bacteria; Bacillati; Bacillota; Clostridia; Lachnospirales; Lachnospiraceae. The record is from RNAcentral.